UAGAAACCUUCUUUUCUGUUUCAGCCUUGG
Molecule: non-coding RNA, 30 nt
Filed under: Mus musculus (house mouse)
Lineage: Eukaryota; Metazoa; Chordata; Mammalia; Rodentia; Muridae
Source: RNAcentral